GAUGAACGCUGGCGGCGUGCUUAACACAUGCCAGUCGAACGAUGAAGCCCAGCUUGCUGGGUGGAUUAGUGGCGAACGGGUGAGUAACACGUGAGUAACCUGCCCUUGACUCUGGGAUAAGCCUGGGAAACUGGGUCUAAUACUGGAUAUGACUUCUCAUCGCAUGGUGGGGGGUGGAGAGAUUUAUUGGUCUUGGAUGGACUCGCGGCCUAUCAGCUUGUUGGUGAGGUAAUGGCUCACCAAGGCGACGACGGGUAGCCGGCCUGAGAGGGUGACCGGCCACACUGGGACUGAGACACGGCCCAGACUCCUACGGGAGGCAGCAGUGGGGAAUAUUGCACAAUGGGCGCAAGCCUGAUGCAGCGACGCCGCGUGAGGGAUGACGGCCUUCGGGUUGUAAACCUCUUUCAGUAGGGAAGAAGCGAGAGUGACGGUACCUGCAGAAGAAGCGCCGGCUAACUACGUG
This 466-nucleotide ribosomal RNA is filed under the name uncultured bacterium. RNAcentral's name for it is "partial 16S ribosomal RNA". It matches the Rfam family "Bacterial small subunit ribosomal RNA", at positions 28 to 507 of the family's 1533-position model. The record is from RNAcentral.